Molecule: ribosomal RNA, 1528 nt
Filed under: metagenome
Description: bacterial LSU rRNA
Rfam family: Bacterial large subunit ribosomal RNA
Source: RNAcentral
CUGCUCUGGGUAAGUCGGGGCUAAGGAGAGGCAGAGAUGCGUAUCCGAUGGACAGCAGGUUUAAGAUUCCUGCACCCCUUGUUAUCAGAACUGCGGGGACACGGGAAGGGAAGCAGAGCCGGGAAUGGAAAGCCCGGUGCAAGCGAAGUAGUCGCAGGGUUGGAAAAUCCGCCCUGCAUGAGACGAAGGCGUGAUGCGGAGCGAAAUGAAGUAGUGAAGCUGCGGCCCCUUCCUGUCGAGAAAAGCCGCUAUCGUGUAGCAAGGGCCCGUACCGUAAACCGACACAGGUGGAUGAGGAGAGGAUCCUAAGGCCGGCGGGAGAAGUGUUGUUAAGGAACUCGGCAAAAUGACUCCGUAACUUCGGGAGAAGGAGUGCUGCGCAAGCAGCCGCAGAGAAAUGGCCCAAGCAACUGUUUAGCAAAAACACAGGUCUAUGCGAAACCGAAAGGUGAGGUAUAUGGGCUGACGCCUGCCCGGUGCUGGAAGGUUAAGGGGAGAGCUUAGCGCAAGCGAAGGUUUGAACUUAAGCCCCAGUAAACGGCGGCCGUAACGAUAACGGUCCUAAGGUAGCGAAAUUCCUUGUCGGGUAAGUUCCGACCCGCACGAAAGGCGUAAUGAUUGGGGCACUGUCUCAACAACACACCCGGUGAAAUUGAAAUACCAGUGAAGAUGCUGGUUACCCGCGCCAGGACGGAAAGACCCCAUGGAGCUUUACUCCAGCCUGAUACUGGGAUUCGGUAUUGCAUGUACAGGAUAGGUGGGAGGCUAAGAACUUAUGGCGCCAGCCGUGAGGGAGCCGAUGUUGGGAUACCACCCCUGCAGUACUGGGUUUCUAACCUGCGCCCGUGACCCGGGCGGGGGACAAUGUCAGGCGGGGAGUUUGACUGGGGCGGUCGCCUCCGAAAGGGUAUCGGAGGCGCUCAAAGGUCUCCUCAGGAUGGUUGGAAACCAUCCAGAGAGUGCAAAGGCAGAAGGAGGCUUGACUGCGACACCGACGGGUGGAGCAGGUACGAAAGUAGGACUAGUGAUCCGGUGGCAUAAAGUGGGAUUGCCAUCGCUCAACGGAUAAAAGCUACCCUGGGAUAACAUGCUUAUCACUCCCAAGAGUUCACAUCGACGGAGUGGUUUGGCACCUCGAUGUCGGCUCAUCGCAUCCUGGAGCUGGAGCAGGUUCCAAGGGUUGGGCUGUUCGCCCAUUAAAGCGGUACCGAGCUGGGUUCAGAACGUCGUGAGACAGUUCGGUCCCUAUCCGGCGCGGGCGCAGGAUAUCUGAGAGGAGCUGUCCUUAGUACGAGAGGACCGGGAUGGACCGUCCGCUGGUGGACCGGUUGUCAUGCCAAUGGCACGGCCGGGUAGCCAAGACGGGAAGGGAUAAACGCUGAAGGCAUCUAAGCGUGAAGCCCCCCUCAAGAUGAGAUAUCCAUACUCGAAAGAGUGAGAGACCCCUUAGAGACGAUGAGGUAGAUAGGGCAGAGAUGGAAGCACAGCGAUGUGUGGAGUUGACUGUUACUAAUCGGUCGAUAGCCAA